UGAGGAACAUGUCUUUCGGCGGGGAAUAGCCGGCCUAACGGCCGGGUAAUUCCGCGUACGACGGUUGGGGCGCAUGCCUCGGCCGUGAAAGCAGCAAUGCGCCGAUGGAGUGCCUCGCGGCCUAUCAGCUAGUUGGUGAGGUAAUGGCUCACCAAGGCGACGACGGGUAGCUGGUCUGAGAGGAUGGCCAGCCACAGUUGGGACUGAGACACGGCCCAGACCUGUACGGGAGG
RNAcentral lists this ribosomal RNA (233 nucleotides) under uncultured bacterium. RNAcentral's name for it is "partial 16S ribosomal RNA". It matches the Rfam family "Bacterial small subunit ribosomal RNA", at positions 118 to 347 of the family's 1533-position model. The record is from RNAcentral.